GAUGAACGCUGGCGGCGUGCCUAAUACAUGCAAGUCGAACGAAACUUCUUUAUCACCGAGUGCUUGCACUCACCGAUAAAGAGUUGAGUGGCGAACGGGUGAGUAACACGUUGGCAACCUGCCCAAAAGAGGGGGAUAACACUUGGAAACAGGUGCUAAUACCGCAUAACCAUAGUUACCGCAUGGUAACUAUGUCAAAGGUGUCUAUACUACCGCUUUUGGAUGGGCCCGCGGCGCAUUAGCUAGUUGGUAGGGUAAAGGCUUACCAAGGCAAUGAUGCGUAGCCGUAUUGAGAGGUUGAUCGGCCACAUUGGGACUGAGACACGGCCCAAACUCCUACGGGAGGCAGCAGUAGGGAAUAUUCCACAAUGGGCGAAAGCCUGAUGGAGCAACGCCGCGUGGGUGAAGAAGGUCUUCGGAUCGUAAAACCCUGUUGUUAGAGAAGAAAGUGCGUGAGAGUAACUGUUCACGUUUCGACGGUAUCUAACCAGAAAGCCACGGCUAACUACGUG
RNAcentral lists this ribosomal RNA (512 nucleotides) under uncultured bacterium. RNAcentral describes it as "partial 16S ribosomal RNA". It matches the Rfam family "Bacterial small subunit ribosomal RNA", at positions 28 to 507 of the family's 1533-position model. The record is from RNAcentral.